This 708-nucleotide long non-coding RNA is filed under the name Zonotrichia albicollis (white-throated sparrow). RNAcentral's name for it is "lncRNA (ENSZALG00000008439.1)". The record is from RNAcentral. Lineage: Eukaryota; Metazoa; Chordata; Aves; Passeriformes; Passerellidae.
GGAAAAUGAAGAACAGGGUCAGUGUCAGCCCCUACAGUCAGUGCACACAUCAGCAGACCAUGGAGUCACAGUGCCAGGCACUGCAGACAGCAGCAUGGACUAAUGUGCCAACAGCUAGAGUGGGAUCUUAGCGUGACAGAGACCCAUGUGCCCAUGCUGCCAGUCACUGGAGCAAGAGCAGCUGUGGAGGAGCCUUCCCAUGGAAGCUGCAAGUCAGAAACUGGAGUUUGACAGCAAGUUGUCUGUGAUUUGCUUUUCUCAAGAUGUGGUCUUCAAAAGAAUGGGACUACAGUCUGGAUCCCAAAACCUGUCUCACUGCUUUUGCAGUAGAGAGAACACUCUGAAAUGACACAGCACCAGCCUGCUCCCCACUGUGAUCCUCAAGGCACCUGUAAAAUCCUCCUCAACCACUGGGAAAUGAAGUUAUUCCAGUACUACUUAUCUUCUCUCUGUCAUACGUACCUCAAAAUCCAUAUUAUGAUUCAUUAGCCCCUUGACUGAUUUUUCUGGUUGAUGCAGUAUAUGGGUUGAUCCCAAAGUUUUUGGGAUCUCGUUUGAGUCUUUUUAUUUUUGUUGCUAUGCACACUUUUUCUGAAGCUGCAUUUUGUUCUGGUUUUCUAUUUUUUAAGAGUUACUUGUGUGUCACUGUGCAAACAAAAGUCUGUCCCAAUUGUACUGCAUGAUCAUUCUGUUGGGGUGGAUGCAGGG